Molecule: ribosomal RNA, 305 nt
Filed under: uncultured bacterium
Lineage: Bacteria
Description: bacterial SSU rRNA
Rfam family: Bacterial small subunit ribosomal RNA
Source: RNAcentral
UUCCUACGGGAGGCAGCAGUGGGGAAUAUUGCACAAUGGGGGAAACCCUGAUGCAGCAACGCCGCGUGAGUGAAGAAGGUUUUCGGAUUGUAAAGCUCUGUUAGCAGGGAAGAGGAAGGACGGUACCUGCAGAGGAAGCAUCGGCUAACUCCGUGCCAGCAGCCGCGGUAAUACGGAGGAUGCGAGCGUUAUCCGGAUUUAUUGGGUUUAAAGGGUGCGCAGGCGGAGGUGCAAGUCAGCGGUCAAAUUGCGGGGCUCAACCCCGUACUGCCGUUGAAACUGCAUCCCUUGAGUGCGCGAGAAGG